This 407-nucleotide ribosomal RNA is filed under the name uncultured Eubacteriales bacterium. Its description in RNAcentral is "bacterial SSU rRNA". It matches the Rfam family "Bacterial small subunit ribosomal RNA", at positions 355 to 776 of the family's 1533-position model. Lineage: Bacteria; Bacillati; Bacillota; Clostridia; Eubacteriales. The record is from RNAcentral.
UAGGGAAUAUUGGGCAAUGGGCGCAAGCCUGACCCAGCAACGCCGCGUGAGGGAAGAAGGUUUUCGGAUUGUAAACCUCUGUCCUAUGUGACGAAGGAAGUGACGGUAGCAUAGGAGGAAGCCCCGGCUAACUACGUGCCAGCAGCCGCGGUAAUACGUAGGGGGCGAGCGUUGUCCGGAAUUACUGGGCGUAAAGGGUGCGUAGGCGGUUUGGUAAGUUGGAUGUGAAAUACCCGGGCUUAACUUGGGGGCUGCAUCCAAUACUGCUGAACUUGAGUGCAGGAGAGGAAAGCGGAAUUCCUAGUGUAGCGGUGAAAUGCGUAGAUAUUAGGAGGAACACCGGUGGCGAAGGCGGCUUUCUGGACUGUAACUGACGCUGAGGCACGAAAGCGUGGGGAGCAAACAGG